Melanotaenia boesemani (Boeseman's rainbowfish) is the source of this 1631-nucleotide long non-coding RNA. RefSeq lists it as uncharacterized. The record is from RefSeq and is a predicted model, not a curated record. Lineage: Eukaryota; Metazoa; Chordata; Actinopteri; Atheriniformes; Melanotaeniidae. The transcript is spliced from 3 exons.
AAUCCACUUAGCAAGAUUAGACUGACGCUGCUUGUCUACAGUCAGUUUCCAGGAAAGGAAAUAUUUAGCUGCCAUCAACUGUCUAACAAGAAAUUAUAAUUAUUUAUAUUAUAUAUUAUUUAUAAUAUUUUUUUAAUAAUAUUUAUAUAUGUAGUGGAAUAGAGGCAACAGCAGCAGACAUAUGAGAAAUAACAGCCUGUAGAGUCGAGCUUCAACAGCUUCUAAUUAAACACACGGAUGCACUGAGUGACCACUGGAACCACAAGCAGUGCUGAGGUCAACCGAGUGGGUUUAACCUUUAAACAUGUUGGGUUUGUCUGAUUACAGUGCUGCAGCUGCCAAAAAAAAACCUUUUUAAAAAGAUCGUCUUUUCAACUGACGAAGAGCACCUGUAUGUAUUUAUCUAUACAGGUAUUUAUAUAUAAAUGUAUUUAUAUAUACGUGCUUCAUGGAGACAUUACAUAAUUAGUGUUACCAGGAAAGAGGGGAAAAGAAUGAUGAUGAUGUAAAAACUGAGAUUUUUUUUAUUUCUAUUCCAAUGUGAAUGACAUUACAGGAACUGUGAUAGAAAUAAAAUAACCACAAAAUGCAGAAAAUCAGGAAACAUUCACAGCUCACAGCUAGAAGAUGAUUCCUUCACUAUUUGUGCCUAAAAUGAUGACAAUAAAUGAAGCACAAAAAUUAGGGGUUUAAUUAAUUCUUCAUUCAAUCAACUAAUUUAUUAUUCAACUAGUCACUUAAGCAUUUAGUUUAUAAUAAAAGGAGUGAUGGCUGUAUUCCUGCUUCAGAUUCAGGGUUCUGGUUUGUGAAUGUUGGCAUGCUGCUGGGAAACGUUCCCACUGUGCUUUUCCUUCUCUGAUACAUGUGCCUAUUCAGCCUUUCAUCCAAUACUUUCACUGAGUGAGCUGAGGUGUGACAGUAACCACUGUGAGGAUAGCCGUUCCAUGCAGCACAGAUGGACUGAGUGUUGUGGUCCUCUACGUACCGUAGGAAGCGGUUUAGGUCUCCGUGCCUCAUGUACUCGAACACCAUGGCCAGGGGCUCUCCAUCUGUGCAGACGCCAUAGAACCGCACAAUGUGCUGGUGCUGGAGCACCGUUAGGAGCUCCGCCUCCCGCUGGAAGUCCUGGCGAGUCGACUCGUUUGCAUCCUUCAGAGUCUGUGAACACACAAAGAUUUACAUUUACUUAAAUCUUUUUAUAUUUUCUAUCAUGAAUAAUUUUCUGUAAGAUUCCUUCAGCUCAGACUGAAGAAGUUAGACUGACCAUUUGCUUGUGUUUUACAGGAUUGACUGCAUCAAUUGUCACAUAAGAUUGGCAACAGAGGCUCCAGAAGUUUAAUAUAUUCUUUACCAGUUUCUGCCAGCAGGAGUGAAGAUGACAUUACAAAGACAAACAGCAGAAAUGAGGGUGCAACAGCAUGAACCAGGACAAGAACCUACCAAAGCUCCAUCCACAUAAUAAACAACGUUGGACAUGUUGCACACGCUCGGUAAAAUGAUGAGGACAAGAUGGUGGAGAUAAGGCUCAGCUGCUGACGAACAGAUUUGAUGACUUUCAAUAUGACAAAGUACUGCUCAGCGUGGACAUUAAACACAGCUCAAAUCAGAAGAUUUAUAAGAUGUAAUAGAAA